GUUAUAUUUCCAAAUUUCUAUAUAAUAAAAUUUUCAUAUAAAAUAAAACCAAAAACAGUUAAUUUAAAUCUAAAUCAUUCCAAAAUAUGAUACCAUCCAAACUUUUAAAAUAUCUUACAUGCUUGGUUUACCAAAACUGAAGAGCUAAAUAUGAUUUUUUUUAGAUGUUUCAUACAAACCAAACUAAAACAAUCAACCUAAUUAUCAGGUCCACUAGAACUACUUUCCCAUUCUUCAUUUUGAACCUUCUUCCAUUUCAUCAUCUUCAUUUUCAUAUCCUUGACUUUCUUCAUCUUCUUCAUUGACAUCAUGACCGUAGGGAACUUGUAGUCGGGAAGGAUCAAAAGUAAAUUGAAAUUGUGGUGGUUGGGCGUUUGGAUUUUGAGAUAAGAACAUUUGAUGCAUCUGUUCAGUAAAUUGUUGACUCAUUUGUUGAGUCAACUCUUGAGCAAAUGCAUUGAAGUUUUGGGCAUUGGUUGAUGUACUUGGCCCAUAAUAUGGUGCUACAUUCUUCACUUUUCUUCCAACACCUCUUGUAUGACCGCUUCUUUCUCCAAGUGCACACUUGAGGCAUUCUGUCUGAUCAACCAAUGAAUCAUCACCAUUACUUUUUUUUACAAGUCUUUAAAAAAGAAAAAAUCUCUAUAUGACUGUGUUGCCCCUGGUAAGGGAUAUACUGAAAUGUUUGGGCCUUAAAGUAAUCUUUGAAUUGGUUGCUAAGCAAAAAUAAAUCAAACUAAAAGAAACAAAUAAACUAAUUUUUUUUCCUUACAGGGGUAUACCGAAAUGUUUAAUUUCCCUGCAGGGGUAUACCGAAAUGUUUAAUGUUUAAUUAUAAAACAUAUAUUUGUGUCAUACAAAGCAUAAUUAGUUAAAAUAAAACUUUAAUUUUGAACAGGAGAAAUUUGGGAAGGGGCAUUUUUGUCAUUUUAUUAUCAAACAAAGUUAUUUGUUUAAAGGUGUGUCUUAGUGAAUAACUGAACUCAAGUGUGGUGUGAAAUGUUGAAGAUCUUUGUGUUAAUUUUUGGACAUCCAACACACAUUAUCUUUUACUUGUAUGUGAUUGUUGUUUAUAGCCACCAAAUGUGAAAUAUUCAUAUUAAACAAAGAUGGAUAAUGUUCCUGAUGGAUGUGUUUUUUUGAGGUUGAAUUUGUUAAUACAACUUAAGUUCGAUAUAAUAUUGACAUAAAAACAACCAUUAGGCUGAAUUUGGACCAGACUCAGAUUGGUAAGCAAUAUAUAAAAGCUGAGUAUCAAGUCUAUCAAGUCAGAAACAUGUGGCCAUUAACAAAGCUUCCUUCUCAUGAUCUGUGCUAAUCUGUGAAGUAUAUUAAAAGGGAAACUUAUUGUUACUAUCUCUUUUCAUUAUUUCAACAAAACAGAAAAAUAGGUGGGCUGUUAUCACGAUCCAAACAAACUAAAUUAAACAAUAUAAUACUAGCAUUAUACAAAAGAUUUGGGAACAAACAAAGGGGUAGGGCACUAGGGCUGCUACGUCCUUGCCAACAGACUUAGAACUUAGAAUAAUAGAAAUAAUAUUACUAGCAAUUUACAUCCUUUUGUCCAACUCCCCCAGAAAACAUAUACACGAAUAAUUGUUGGAAAUAACCCAAACAACAAAUACAUGAAUAACGAGAAAAGGAGAUGUUCUUGUAUUCUAAAACAUACACCGUUCAUACCUGUUGGGAGGAAGUAGAAAACCGAUUUCAGAAAGAAGGGAGACUGCCGGAAUGAGAGGGAGACCGCCGGAAUGAGACCACCUGCAAUUUAGAAGAAAACAGAAUAAAUCCUGAGCUGGAGGGAAAAUAUCAUAGUGAAAGGCUAAAGGAGUUGACGAGGGAAAUGGUGGUCAAUUGACGAUCGAAUCUUCCCUAUCGGCUUACAGGAAACGACGAUUUCGCCUCAGCUCACAAACAGGUGCUGUGGGUGCGAGACUGCGGGUGACUGAUUGGGAAAAGGGAUUUCAAUCCAGCGAAACCCUAUAGGGACGAUAAGUCCUUCGUAUACCUGCCCAUUAAAACGGGGUCGUUCCAGUUUUCCUUAUAUAUACACAUUAAU
Molecule: long non-coding RNA, 2059 nt
Filed under: Lactuca sativa (garden lettuce)
Lineage: Eukaryota; Viridiplantae; Streptophyta; Magnoliopsida; Asterales; Asteraceae
Description: long non-coding RNA (LSAT_LNC002555)
Source: RNAcentral